AUAUUAAAUGCAGAAGAAAAGUUUUAUAAGGUAUAUACAAGAUAUUUACAAAUUUGAGGUAUGAAGGGUAAAUACUGUAGUGUUCACAAUAUUAAGAUAAAGAGAUAUACUAGUUAGAUUUUUAUGUGGUAUUAUUUGCACAAUGACAAUGCAUGGAUAUUGUUUGCAUAAAGAAAGUGUGAUUUCUGAACCUAUGUAUUUG
Non-coding RNA from Paramuricea clavata, 202 nucleotides. Lineage: Eukaryota; Metazoa; Cnidaria; Anthozoa; Malacalcyonacea; Plexauridae. The record is from the annotation of a GenBank genome assembly.